UACGUAGGGACCAAGCGUUGUUCGGAUUUACUGGGCGUAAAGGGCGUGUAGGCGGUCAGGUAAGUGAGAUGUGAAAUGCCCCGGCUCACCCGGGGACCGGCAUCUCAUACUGCUUGGCUUGAGUACGGGAGAGGAUGUGGGAAUUCCUGGUGUAGCGGUGAAAUGCGUAGAGAUCAGGAGGAACACCGGUGGCGAAGGCGCACAUCUGGCCCGAUACUGACGCUGAGGCGCGAAAGCUAGGGGAGCAAACGGG
Molecule: ribosomal RNA, 253 nt
Filed under: uncultured bacterium
Lineage: Bacteria
Description: partial 16S ribosomal RNA
Rfam family: Bacterial small subunit ribosomal RNA
Source: RNAcentral